CUACAAGGGAGAGUGAAUCCAUUGCUUCUCCAUGUUGCUGUGAAGGUGGCUGGAAAGCAUGCAGUAGGACACUAAAGAUUUGGCACUUACUCUCAUUAACUGAUGAAUUUGGAGGACCUAGAAGUGGAAAGCCAGCACUCCCAGGAUAUGAAUCAGAGAAAAAGCAGUGAAGUCUUGUCCCA
Molecule: long non-coding RNA, 182 nt
Filed under: Castor canadensis (American beaver)
Lineage: Eukaryota; Metazoa; Chordata; Mammalia; Rodentia; Castoridae
Description: lncRNA (ENSCCNG00000028309.1)
Source: RNAcentral